Molecule: long non-coding RNA, 1539 nt
Filed under: Nicotiana benthamiana
Lineage: Eukaryota; Viridiplantae; Streptophyta; Magnoliopsida; Solanales; Solanaceae
Description: long non-coding RNA (NBEN_LNC029613)
Source: RNAcentral
UUGAUCCUAUAAUAAUGUUGACUCUGAGCUUCUGCACUAGGUUUCUUUGGUGACACCUCUACCUGUCCUGAAUUGGUUUACAACUCUUAGUUAUGCCUUGCCUUGAAUCUUUAUGAGGACUGCAAUAGUAUCUACCCCAAAGGGGGAGCCUCUCGAGUAUGUCAUUAUCAUUUUAUGUUCAGCUUAUUGCUUUGUGGAUUCUUGGUUCCUAUAACUACUCUAGUGCAUCUUGCGAAAUCCGUGCUUUGAAAUUGUUUGCCUCAUAUAUGUGCUCAUUUUAAGGUCUUUGUACAUGUGUGUCCUCUUACCUGUUAGUUGUCACCUGUAAGGUGACACUUAGAAAACUUUUCUGCUGAUGAUUGUAAUAAUGGGAAUCCAUAUGUCUUUGCCUGAAUCCCUGAGUUAUUCAAAUAACGCUCCUUAUAUCCCCAUAUUCCUGUUAUUCGCUAAUAGGUAAGCGAGGGAAUUGCUUUCAUGCUUGGGGACUGGUUUAUUGGGUUGUGUGUAUUAUUGGAUCUGAGCAUUAAUCAGGCAGGCUUGCAAGUCUGGAUAUCAGGCCUCUUAGAUAUGCAAGAGUACGGCUGGCGAAGGCCAGAAGGGCACUGUUGGGUUACUUUAUACUUGUGUUGGGCCUGUAAAUGUUGUAUUUGGGCAUACUAUAUCCCUAUUAAGUUUGUAUUUGUUUUAUUAUUCUAGAUGGGCAUGUAAUAAUUUGUAAACAGCAACCGAGGUCUUAAUAAAUAAGGGGGUUGGGGUAUUCUAUUACUUGCAUGAAUAGGUAGAAAACAUGCAUAUAUGAUCUACGUGGUCUAUUUGCUAUUCGUUCAGCAUGCCUUAUAUGCCAUUUAGUUUCAUGUGUAGAAAGCAUGCCUAUAGGAAUCAUGCAUACUUCAUUUAUACAUUGUUCAAACACGUUAUCCAAAGUAUUUGCCAUACUCGCUUCUAUAUUAUUACUGUACGCUUAAACAACAUGCCUAUAGGAUGUGAUAUAUAUGUUUUUCUCCACUACAUACCAUGCCUAAGAAUUUCAAAUAACCAAUUGGUCAAAUGAUUUUAUUACUUUAGUGUACUGCCCAUUUAGACACCAUGACUACAAAAUCUUAAUUAAUUAACUACUUCGUGCCAUUUCUGUACUGCUUCUUUAUAAGAAAUCAUGUCUAUAGGAUACUGUCACCUGCCUAGAAAAUACGCCUAUAGGGAUAAAGUGUUAUAAAAUUAGAAACCAUUAGAAAUCCGGCCUAUAGGAUAUCGUAAUCAUAUUAGACAACAUGUUUAUAAAAUCAAUGUCACAAACUCUGGGUUUUCAAAUAGUCUUACCGCCUCUGCAUGCAAAUAAGAAGAGAUUACGUCUGCAGGACCUGUAACUCCUUUAAUAUAUAAAUCUGUUAGCUUAAAGCUGCAAUGUUACCUAUACAAUGCUGAAAGUCAAAAUCAUCUAGAAAUCAUGCCAAUAGGACUUAACGACUAACAUAACCUGAAAUCUGUUUGAGUGCCUUUGUUGUUAUGUGUGGAGGCUAACUUGGGCCUUUAAUUGUCUUU